Long non-coding RNA from Odocoileus virginianus texanus, 475 nucleotides. RefSeq lists it as uncharacterized. The record is from RefSeq and is a predicted model, not a curated record. NCBI's taxonomy places the organism in Eukaryota, Metazoa, Chordata, Mammalia, Artiodactyla, Cervidae.
CUGUGGGGUCUCUCUGCUAAGUAUGUAAAAACAGGAGUGAAUUUCAUCUGGUAGGAGUGGUUUGGGUGUGGUUCCGCCCGAAGAGAGGAAAGGAUUUCAGUGGGUUGUUUUAUGGGCAUAUUUAAAAGCCAGAAGUAGGAGAUUGCCAGGGUCCAACACUGUCUCUGCAGGAGAGUGGGGCUGUCAUCAGAAGCUGGGAAAUCUGCUGUGGUGACAUGCUCAAGCCACUUUUUCAGUCAGCUGUAGGGGGAGAAGGCGGAGGAAGGCUCCUUUUGAACCUACUCAGAGCUGCUUUUCCCCAUUUGAUAGAACAUUGCCAAGAGUGUCACCCAAAACCUCCCUCUACAGACAUACCCAGGAACUACCUGGAUAGCAUCCUUCAUCCAGAAUUCUUGUACCCCUCCCUCCCAAUCAGGGGUACCCUUGCCUCCCCCCACAGCCCUAUUUCCUGCUUUUUAAAAAAAAAUUUUUUUGA